Molecule: ribosomal RNA, 418 nt
Filed under: uncultured Arthrobacter sp.
Lineage: Bacteria; Bacillati; Actinomycetota; Actinomycetes; Micrococcales; Micrococcaceae
Description: bacterial SSU rRNA
Rfam family: Bacterial small subunit ribosomal RNA
Source: RNAcentral
UGGGGAAUAUUGCACAAUGGGCGAAAGCCUGAUGCAGCGACGCCGCGUGAGGGAUGACGGCCUUCGGGUUGUAAACCUCUUUCAGUAGGGAACAAGGCCAGUGUUUAGUUGGUUGAGGGUACCUGCAGAAGAAGCGCCGGCUAACUACGUGCCAGCAGCCGCGGUAAUACGUAGGGCGCAAGCGUUAUCCGGAAUUAUUGGGCGUAAAGAGCUCGUAGGCGGUUUGUCGCGUCUGCCGUGAAAGUCCGGGGCUCAACUCCGGAUCUGCGGUGGGUACGGGCAGACUAGAGUGAUGUAGGGGAGACUGGAAUUCCUGGUGUAGCGGUGAAAUGCGCAGAUAUCAGGAGGAACACCGAUGGCGAAGGCAGGUCUCUGGGCAUUAACUGACGCUGAGGAGCGAAAGCAUGGGGAGCGAACA